This 393-nucleotide long non-coding RNA is filed under the name Zonotrichia albicollis (white-throated sparrow). RNAcentral describes it as "lncRNA (ENSZALG00000002323.1)". Lineage: Eukaryota; Metazoa; Chordata; Aves; Passeriformes; Passerellidae. The record is from RNAcentral.
AUUUCUUACAUUGCAGUGAUAAGCAUUGCCUCACACUCCUUGUGUUACAUUCACAGAUCUGCAUGCAGAGAUUGAAGCUAAAGCUGACAGGACAACUUCUUUAGCCACCUGGCUUCACUAUCAGAAAAAAAGGACCCUGAAGAUCAGCCCUGAGCAUGCUGAGAUUUGGGCAGCACCUGAUCAAGCCCUCGGUGGUGUUCCUGAGGACAGAGCUGAGCUUUGCUCUGGUGAACCGCAGGCCGGUGCUGCCAGGACGUAUCCUUGCCAUGCUGCUGCUCCCUGGAAGGGCAGGACACGCUCAGGACACUUGGAAGGCCAGAUGGGCACCCUCAGCUCUAUACUGAGCUUUUGUUCAGAGACACUGCCUGCUGUGGAAAUCAUGGCACAUCUGAU